CCUACGGGAGGCAGCAGUGGGGAAUAUUGGACAAUGGGCGAAAGCCUGAUCCAGCAAUGCCGCGUGAGUGAUGAAGGCCUUCGGGUCGUAAAGCUCUUUUACCAGGGAUGAUAAUGACAGUACCUGGAGAAUAAGCUCCGGCUAACUCCGUGCCAGCAGCCGCGGUAAUACGGAGGGAGCUAGCGUUGUUCGGAAUUACUGGGCGUAAAGAGUACGUAGGCGGUUAUUCAAGUCAGAGGUGAAAGCCCGGGGCUCAACCCCGGAACUGCCUUUGAAACUAGAUAACUAGAGUCUUGGAGAGGUUAGUGGAAUUCCGAGUGUAGAGGUGAAAUUCGUAGAUAUUCGGAAGAACACCAGUGGCGAAGGCGGCUAACUGGACAAGUACUGACGCUGAGGUACGAAAGCGUGGGGAGCAAACAGGAUUAGAUACCCUGGUAGUCCACGCCGUAAACGAUGAUAACUAGUUGUUCGGUCACUUGGUGACUGAGUGACGCAGCUAACGCAUUAAGUUAUCCGCCUGGGGAUACGGUCGCAAGNUUAAAACUCAAAGGAAUUGACGGCNGAGANGCGAGCGACACGAGGAGAG
This 586-nucleotide ribosomal RNA is filed under the name uncultured bacterium. Its description in RNAcentral is "bacterial SSU rRNA". It matches the Rfam family "Bacterial small subunit ribosomal RNA", at positions 338 to 943 of the family's 1533-position model. The record is from RNAcentral.